AUAUUGGACAAUGGGCGAAAGCCUGAUCCAGCCAUGCCGCGUGUGUGAAGAAGGUCUUCGGAUUGUAAAGCACUUUAAGUUGGGAGGAAGGGUUGUAGGUUAAUACCCUGCAAUUUUGACGUUACCAACAGAAUAAGCACCGGCUAACCUCGGGCCAGUAGCCUCGGUAAGACGAAGGGUGCAAGCGUUAAUCGGAAAUACUGGGCGAAAAACGCGCGUAGGUGGUUCGUUAAGUUGGAAGUGAAAGCCCCGGGCUUAACCUGGGAAUUGCUCUCAAAACUGACGAGCUAGAGUACGGUAGAGGGUAGUGGAAUUUCCUGUGUAGCGGUGAAAUGCGUAGAUAUAGGAAGGAACAUCAGUGGCGAAGGCGACUACCUGGACUGAUACUGACACUGAGGUGCGAAAGCGUGGGGAGCAAACAGG
This 423-nucleotide ribosomal RNA is filed under the name uncultured bacterium. Its description in RNAcentral is "partial 16S ribosomal RNA". It matches the Rfam family "Bacterial small subunit ribosomal RNA", at positions 361 to 776 of the family's 1533-position model. The record is from RNAcentral.